AUUGAACGCUGGCGGCAGGCCUAACACAUGCAAGUCGAGCGGAUGAGAAGAGCUUGCUCUUCGAUUCAGCGGCGGACGGGUGAGUAAUGCCUAGGAAUCUGCCUGGUAGUGGGGGACAACGUUUCGAAAGGAACGCUAAUACCGCAUACGUCCUACGGGAGAAAGCAGGGGACCUUCGGGCCUUGCGCUAUCAGAUGAGCCUAGGUCGGAUUAGCUAGUUGGUGAGGUAAUGGCUCACCAAGGCUACGAUCCGUAACUGGUCUGAGAGGAUGAUCAGUCACACUGGAACUGAGACACGGUCCAGACUCCUACGGGAGGCUG
Molecule: ribosomal RNA, 321 nt
Filed under: uncultured Pseudomonadota bacterium
Lineage: Bacteria; Pseudomonadati; Pseudomonadota
Description: bacterial SSU rRNA
Rfam family: Bacterial small subunit ribosomal RNA
Source: RNAcentral